GAUGAACGCUGGCGGCGUGCCUAAUACAUGCAAGUCGAGCGAACGGACGAGAAGCUUGCUUCUCUGAUGUUAGCGGCGGACGGGUGAGUAACACGUGGAUAACCUACCUAUAAGACUGGGAUAACUUCGGGAAACCGGAGCUAAUACCGGAUAAUAUUUUGAACCGCAUGGUUCAAAAGUGAAAGACGGUCUUGCUGUCACUUAUAGAUGGAUCCGCGCUGCAUUAGCUAGUUGGUAAGGUAACGGCUUACCAAGGCAACGAUGCAUAGCCGACCUGGGAGGGUUGUUCGCCCAACUGGAACCUAGAAACGGUUCCGACUCCCACCGGAGGGCGCAGGAGGGGAUCUUCCACCAUGGGCGGAAACCCUCACGAGGCAAGCCGCCUGAGUUAAGAAAGGCCUCGGAUCCGAAAACUCUUUUAAUAGGGAAGAACAUAUGUGUAAGUAACUGUGCACAUCUUGACGGUACCUAAUCAGAAAGCCACGGCUAACUACGUG
This 497-nucleotide ribosomal RNA is filed under the name uncultured bacterium. RNAcentral's name for it is "partial 16S ribosomal RNA". It matches the Rfam family "Bacterial small subunit ribosomal RNA", at positions 28 to 507 of the family's 1533-position model. The record is from RNAcentral.